CGGAUAUAUCCAAGUGUGGUACCGCCACCGUGCCUGAUGGUGUAACGGCCACAAAUUGUUGCCCGCCAGUCACCACAAAGAUUAUAGAUUUCCAGCUACCUUCCUCAGAUUCCCCCAUGCGUACCAGGCCAGCUGCUCACUUGGUCAGCAAAGAGUACUUAGCCAAGUAUAAAAAGGCCAUUGAGCUGCAGAAAGCUCUUCCUGAUGAUGAUCCGCGUAGUUUCAAGCAACAGGCUAAUGUCCAUUGCACCUAUUGCCAAGGGGCUUAUGAUCAGGUUGGGUAUACCGACCUAGAACUCCAGGUUCAUGCUUCAUGGCUUUUCCUCCCUUUCCACCGUUACUAUCUCUACUUCAAUGAGAGAAUUCUUGCAAAGUUGAUCGACGAUCCCACCUUCGCUUUGCCCUAUUGGGCUUGGGAUAACCCUGAUGGCAUGUAUAUGCCGACCAUCUAUGCUAGUUCCCCAUCAUCAAUCUACGACGAGAAGCGCAACGCCAAGCACCUGCCUCCGACUGUGAUCGAUCUCGACUACGAUGGCACCGAACCCACAAUCCCUGAUGANNNNNNNNNNNNNNNNNNNNNNNNNNNNNNNNNNNNNNNNNNNNNNNNNNNNNNNNNNNNNNNNNNNNNNNNNNNNNNNNNNNNNNNNNNNNNNNNNNNNCAGCAGCAUCGGAGACUUCCCAAAAGCUCUAACUCAGUGAUAAGAGUAGAAGUUCCGAGGCCAAAGAAAUCAAGAAGCAAGAAGGAGAAAGAGGAUGAGGAAGAGGUGUUACUGAUAAAAGGAAUAGAGCUAGAUAGAGAGAAUUUCGUGAAGUUUGAUGUGUACAUCAACGACGAAGAUUAUUCAGUGAGUAGGCCUAAGAAUAGUGAGUUUGCAGGAAGCUUUGUGAACGUACCACACAAGCAUAUGAAAGAAAUGAAGACGAAGACCAAUCUGAGGUUCGCGAUAAAUGAGCUGUUAGAGGACUUGGGAGCCGAAGAUGAUGAGAGUGUGAUCGUGACUAUAGUCCCUCGUGCUGGGGGCGAUGAUGUCACCAUUGGUGGAAUUGAGAUCGAGUUUGUUUCCGAUUGAUCCCAUCUUUCAAUGAUUAUCCAUUAUAUGUAUGUAUCAGGUAAGUCACAUCUUUAUGUGACUAAUGGAAAAUGUGAGACUUCUCUGUACUCUCCCGUCAAGUCUUUUAUUAAUUUAGAGCUGUUUGGUUUAAAUUUAAGGGGUUUUUAAUUGGUGUUAGUUUCCUGUGCCUUUUAUUUACUUUAGAUUGAAGUGGAAAUUGAAGUUAAAUUUACUACUUUUAUAAGAUAAUAUGGGGGGUUAUAAAUAUUUUAUAAAAAAUCAAACAACUUUUUGUACAAUUUAAAAUAUUUUUUUUAUAAGAAAUAAUAUUUAUCUCAUUUUUAUGUUAUUUUUUUAAUUAUAAGUUCUUUAAACAAAAUUAAACAAAUAUAUUAGAUUUAGGAAAUAGUUUUUGAUUUCUUAAAGAGGAUCCAAGAAGUUGCUAAAUAUAUUAUGGGAUAUCCAAGAUCAUGGGCUUUUUUUCAAAUCAAUAAUUGGAAAUAUACGCCAUAUUUGAAUGGUAUUUUUCUUCUUCCUACUUUUCCUAAUUUCUUUUAUGCUAUUUACAUAGCAAAUGCCAAUUUAAAUGCCCUUCUUUUUUUAGAUUUAAUAUCCAAUAACUAUUUGUAAUACAUUUGAUGACUACUUGUUAUAUAAUUAUAUGAUAUAAAAAUAAUGCAAAAUAAUAGCCCUGAGGGGUAGCUCAAUUGGUCUGGUAUUGGGUUUGCUCCCCAAUGAUUACCAGUUUGAGUCCCCUCAAAACCAUUGGAGGUUUACCUAGUCGUUAACUUUAGGGCCCUGUGGGAUUAGUUGAGGUGCGUCUAACCUGGGUCGGACAUCCAAGAUUAUUAAAAUAAAAAAACAUACUUGUUACAACUAUUGGAUUGAGUCCCUACAAAUGAAACAUGAGGUAGUAAAGUUUUAUUUAUGAUAUUUUAUUUGUUACCCCUUUUUAUGUAUUGACAUUAAUUUAAUCAUUUAGCUUAUAUGACUUCCAUUGUACAUGAUUUAGGUGUAUUAAGAAUUAUACAAAAUAUAUAAUUUAUGAGUUCAUUGGAAUAUGAUAAGUUGUUCAUAAUCGGUUUAUAGAUUUGGAUAAUCUAGUAAAGACUGUAAUAUUAUCUCAUAAUUUGAGAAAUGACUUGUCUACCGCUAAGAUGAGAUUCUUAUGGUGAGUGCAUUAGCAUGAUAUUAUUGGACAUUUUUAAAGGAUAUAUUUUGAUUGAAAACAUUCAUAGCAUAAAUAUGAGUACUUGUAGACCCCAUAUGGGGCUCGGUUUUCAUGCAGCCUGUUUUGCCAAGUGUCACAAUUCCAUAAGGCCACAUGUUGAUUUCUAGUUGGUUGUUGGGAAUCAGAGUAGUGGAAUUGGAGGACCAAUGAGAGGUCGACACGUGGCAAGAAGAUUCCAAAGAAUCUGCAGAAGCCGUUAUGGAGGAGCGUCUCUGGCGGCUGGAGAGGAGGUUGCUUUUUGGACGUGUUUGUUGAGAGAUAUUUCAGGGAGAGGAGGAUAGUUUAGCUCGAGAGAGGUGGUGCUUUUUGCGAAGUUGCUUGGAGAUAUUUUGAGGGGAUCUCCUUGGGUGAGGGGGCAGGCUGGUGACUCAGGGACACUAGAGAGAGAAAAACAGGGGAAUCAGAGGAGAAAAGGGUGAGAGUUUGAGGGUGAGUUUCUAGCUUAGAGGAGAGGCUACCGGAGGAGAGAACAGGGAGCAGCAAACUGUGAGAGGUAGUGGUGCUAUUGGCUGCCGUUUAGAGGAACUUGAGAGAGAGCGAGACUUGAGAGAGAAAGAACCAGAGAGUUAGAGUUUUCCAGAGAGAACAGAGAGCUUGAAGGAGAAGAAGGUAAGGGUAUGACUGCCACUAAUCUUUUUGUUUUUUUUCGUUGGUAAAUAGUCUCUUUACCUCUUCUCGAUAUUUUCUACGGAUUGCUUGAUUUGUGUUUAGUUUUUAUGGUUCAUGUUUGGUUGAUAUCUCUUUCAUUUUCUUCGAGAUGAUUCGAGAGUGAUACGACUAUGUUUUUAGUUGGGAUGGAAAACUUGUUUUGCUUUUGUUUUCAAUUCCAUAGGAUAUUUAUUUGACUUCACUCACCCCCACCUAAGCCCAUUGAUUGAUGCAUGACAUGAGGCUUAGAUGUAUUCAUUUUGCUCCAAUUAUUUGUACUCUGUCUUGCCGUUUUCCCCUGUUACUGCCUCUGGUGCUGGUUCAGAUGCUAUAUGCAAUAGCAGUAUAGUAGGAGAAGAUGGUUUUGACGAGGGGUUUCCUGAGGUGGAGAAUUUCAUGCACAUCAUAGACUUGAAUGUUGGAAUUUUAUGUGUGGACUUACAUAAUUAAUUUGAUAAUAUCAUAAAUCAGUGUUAAUUUAUGUUUUUGCAUUGUGGUCCAUAAUGGGACUGGACACAAAUUGUUGCUUGAUUUUUUAUGGGCUCACCCUAAUUCACUUGACUGGCCCAUUAAGUCAAGUCGUCCAACUAAAGUGUGUAAUGUGCAAUAUAUAUAUAUAUAUAUAUAUAUAUAUAUAUAUAUGUAUUUAUUUGUAUAUAUAUAUAUAGAGGUGUGUGUGCUUUUGGAGGUGGACCACUCUCUCUUUUGUUCUCUUUGAAGAACACUCCCGGCCACACACGCACACACUCCACUUUGGACUGAAUUUUGGGGAUUAAAGGGAAGAGCUCAUUGAUCGCUCAUCCUCGGAGCAUCACGCACCCGGAAAGCAGAUUAUUGGAUAUCAAAGGAGAGAAGAAAUGGCUUCCCAAAGCACGAACCAAGGUAACGGAAGAAUUUUGCUAUUAAAUGCAUGCUUAAUUGUCAAUAUGUGAUCCUAUGCAAUUUAAAUUAUCAUCAAUUGGUAUCAGAGCUUGCAUGAUUGACAUUUGAGCUGCAAUUUUGGGUUAAUUUUUGGGUUUCCCGUUUCCUGUGGUGGAAGCCAUUUUUUUGGAUUUUUAAUUCUCGUUUGAUGUUUAUUCUCUGUUUUCAAGCCCGAUUGUUGUUGGAAACUUGUAGAGAAUAUUGUUUGGAGCAAAACCCAUCAUUUUAUUUGAUUUUUGGAGCUUGUUUGGUGGGAUUUCGAAAAUUAGGGUUUGUUUGGUUCUUGCUAUUAUGCGUUUUUUGUGCAAUUUUUGGGUUUGGAUUGAAUAAUUGAUGUUUUAGGAUGGAAAUCUAUGUAUUUUUGACGAAAAAUGCGUGAAAUUUUGGGCGGAAAAUUUUUUUUUUUCUUCUCCAGAACCAGGCCGUGCUCAGCUGGAUGAGAAGAUGAACAGUGACGUGAUGACGUCAUCAUGACGUCAUAAAAAAAAAACCAAUUUUUUUUUUUUUUUUUUGUUUGUUUGUUGCCUUGGUAUUCUUGGAUUGAUUGUGCAUAUGCUAGAAUUUUUUAUGCAUUUGUUAAAUUUGACUUUAUUGGGACAAUUAUUAUUAUUAUUGUCCUUUAUGGUAUAAUUUUUCCUUAUAUCAAUAAUGUUGUCCUAUGUCAAUUUUGUUAAAUAUUUCAAUUUAUUGAGGCAAUGAAGCACACUUGUGUAAUUGCCUAUCGCAAUUCCAAGUGUGUCAAAUUGUGAAAAUUGAAUAUUUUAUUUUAUUCAUGACAAUUGUGAACAUAUGUGUGAUUGCCUAUCGUGAUCCUAUAUGUGUCAAAUUGUCCUUGGUGAGAUAAUUUAACUCCCACAUUUAAUCGUUUUAUUAUUGUGAUUACUAAGAUCCAUACGGGUAUUGUAAUUGUCCUAUCGAUGAUAACAAUGCUUGGUAGGAUGCUUAGAUUGGUGAAGGAAAUUAAUUGUAUAUUAUGAAUUGUACUAAUUUUCUUUGCCCUUUCGGUAAUAAAAUUAGUACAUUUUGGUUGUAAUAUUUAAUUAGUUGUCCUUACCGCCGUGGAAUUUUUAAAAAUUCCAAGCUAUUGCUAAAUUGAGAAAUUAUGGAAAUUAGCAAAUGCAUGAUAUUGUAAUAACAUGCAUACUGUUGAAUUUUGCUAUUUUCCAGCUACCAGCAAUCCUGGUAUUUCUCUGCAAUUGUCUGCCAUCAAACCUCUUACUGGGAAUAAUUUUGAAGAAUGGUUUGAGUCCUUUAACGUGCAUAUGACUCUGCAAAAUCUGGACUUGGCUUUGAGGGUUGAUGAGCCAAGUAAGCUCACUGAUGUGAGCUCUGCAGAUGAAAGAUUAUUUUAUGAAAGAUGGGAGCACUCCAACAGGAGUUGUUUGAUGGUGAUGAAAUUCACUAUGGAUAAAUCUAUCAAAGAAUGCGGGCCAAAGACGGAAAGGGCCAAAGACUUCUUGGAAUAUGUGAAGGCCAAUUAUACCAAAGUUGAUAAGGCUGAAAUGGCAACUCAUUUGAAGCUUCUCACAACUACUGUAUAUGAUGGAGUUAGUGGGGUUAGGGAUCAUAUCAUCAAGCUAAGGCACUAAUUCAACAAGGCAAAUGAGAUGAAAGUGGAGUUGGGUGAAAAAUUUCUGAAAUGGUUGAUACUUGAGUCUCUUCCUGCUUCCUUUGAUGCAGUGAAGUUGACUUACAAUGCCUUGAAGGAAGAAUGGACUCUGGAGGAGUUAAUGUCCAUUGUAGUGCAACAUGAAGUCUCACUGAAGAAACAUGAGACUCACUCCCUUGCUCUUGUAACAAAUCAAGCCAGUAAUGUGAAGAAAAAACCUCCACACAAGAUUUUUGGAGGCUCUAAGCAGUUCAAGAGGAAAGGGAAUUCAAAUCAAGGAACCUCCAACGCAUCUGUUUCUUCUAAUGCUGCAAAGAGUGAGAAAUUCAAGGGGAAGUGCAACUUUUGCCAUAAGAUUGGCCACAAGCAAGUUGAUUGCUUCAAAUUUAAAAAUUGGCUAGAGAAGAAAAAGAAAGGUGAAAUUGUGGUUGUGGUUAAUUUGAAUGCAAACAUGAUUGAGACAAAUAUUGUUGAUGUUCAUGCCAAUUCUUGGUGGUUAGAUACUGGUGCCACUAUUCAUGUCACUAAUUCUUUGCAGGAGAUGACAAACAGAAGGAAGCCGUCAAAGCAUGAAGAAUGUGUGUAUAUGGGUGACGGAAGCAAAGUGAAAGUGGAAUUUUUUGGCAUGAUAAAGCUGAAGUUGAUCACAGAAAGUUUUUUGUUGUUACACAAUGUGGCUUUUAUACCCUCACUUAGGAGGAAUCUGAUUUCUGUAUCUUCUUUGGAUAGACAUGGUUAUUCUUUUCACUUUGGAGGUGGAAAAGUGGAUAUUUUUUGCAACUCAGUCUUAAUUGGCAAUGGUGUUUUGUUUGGAAAUCUAUAUAGUCUCAGUUUGCAUCAUGGUUUAUUAUGUGAUUCAUCCUCUGUUAAUUCUGUUGUUGGUUGCAAGCGUGCUAGAAUGAAUUUGAGUUCUUCCAUGUUGUGGCACAAACGCCUAGGUCAUAUUUCUAGGCAAAGAUUAGAGAGAUUGGUGAAAGAUGGUGUGCUUUCUAAUCUUGAUUUCUCAUACUUCGAAACUUGUGUUGUUUGCUUAAAGGGGAAGAUGACAGCAAAGACCAGAAAGGAGAAGAUUGAUAGGUGUGGAAGUACUUUAGACUUGAUCCACACAGAUAUAUGUGGUCCUUUGUCACCAACUGCUUUAGGGGGUUAUAAAUAUUUCAUCACUUUUAUUGAUGAUUUCUCUAGAUUUGGUUUUGUUGAACUAAUCCAUGAGAAAUCUGACUCCCUGAAUGUGUUCAAAGCCUUUAAGGCUAAGGUGGAGUUGCAGUUGGGAAAGCCCAUUAAAGCUGUGAAGUCUGAUAGAGGUGGCGAGUAUUAUGGGAGAUAUGAUGAGACUGGACGGAAUCCUGGACCAUUUGCUAAGUUUCUGUUGGAAUGUGGCAUUGAUGCGAGAUAUACAUUGCCAGGCACUCCUCAACAGAAUGGGGUUGCAGAAAGGAGGAAUCGCACAUUGUUAGAUAUGGUGAGGUGCAUGUUGUCCAAUUCCUCUUUACCAGAAUUUAUAUGGGGUGAAGCCUUAAGGACUGCGGCAUAUAUUUUGAAUCAAGUGCCCAGUAAGUCUGUGCCUAAGACACCUUAUGAGCUAUGGUCAGGAAAGAAACCCAGCCUUCACCAUUUCCAUGUUUGGGGAUGUAAGGCUGAGGUUAAGCCCUAUAACCCACAGUCAAAGAAACUUGAUCCUAAAACCAUUAGUGGUUUCUUUGUUGGCUAUUGCAUUGGAUCAAGGGGUUCCAGAUUCUAUUGUCCAUCUCAUACCACCAGGAUCAUUGAAUCAGACAGGGCUGUAUAUUUUGAGGAUGAAGUCAAUGUUGAUCCAAAUUUUGUGCCUCGUGAGAUACCUUUUGGAGAAGAGCAUGUUGUGAUUCCUUUUCCUACAUCUCAUGUUCCAAAUAUGGAUGUUCCUAUUGUCCAACAGCCAGCCACUAAUCAAGGAGAGCAUGGUGAUCAAGUGGAAUCCGACCUUCCUGUAGAUGAUACAGUUGUUAAUGAGGUUCCUUUGAGAAGAUCACAGAGGGUUCGUAGGCCGGCUAUUUCAGAUGAUUAUAUGGUUUAUUUGCAGGAGCAUGAGUAUGAUAGUUAUGAUGCUUUUGAUCCAGUCACUUACCAAGAAGCAAUUCAUUGUCCUCAAUUCAUAUCUUGGAAAGAAGCCAUGGAUGAUGAAAUGAAUUCUAUGUAUAUGAAUGGUGUUUGGGACUUGGUUGAAUUGCCUCAUGGUUGUAAACCAGUUGGGUGCAAGUGGGUCUUUAAGACCAAACGUGAUUCUAGCGGGAAAAUAGAGAGAUAUAAAGCUAGACUUGUGGUUAAAGGUUAUAGUCAAAGAGAAGGAAUUGAUUUCAAAGAAACCUUCUCACCUGUGUCGACCAAGGACUCUUUUAGAGUGAUUAUGGCCAUAGUAGCUCAUUUUGACUUGGAGCUACAUCAGAUGGAUGUCAAGACAGCUUUCUUGAAUGGUGUUUUGGAUGAGGAGGUGUAUAUGGAGCAACCUAUUGGUUUUGUAGAAGUUGGAAAGGAAGAUUUAGUUUGCAAGCUCAAUAAGUCCAUUUAUGGUCUUAAACAGGCUUCGAGGCAGUGGUAUCUGAAGUUUGAUAAGAUUAUCACCCAAAAUGGCUUUAAAGAAAAUACAGUUGAUAGAUGCAUAUAUUUGAGGGUCAGUGGGAGUAGUUACAUAUUUCUUGUUUUAUAUGUUGAUGAUAUACUACUCGCAUCAAAUGAUCCUGACUUGUUGAUUGAGACAAAGCACAUUUUGUCAACCCAUUUUGACAUGAAGGAUCUUGGUGAGGCUUCUUAUGUCUUGGGCAUAAAGAUUCUUCGUGAUAGGGCUAAUGGAGUGCUUAAAUUGUCUCAAAGAGCCUAUAUUGAAAGGAUAUUGAAGAGGUUCAAUAUGCACAACUGUAAAUCUACUAAAGCGCCAAUUGUGAAGGGUGAUAAAUUUUCAAAAGCUCAGUGUCCUCAAAAUGAUGAUGAGAGAGAGGAAAUGAAGACCAUUCCUUAUUCAUCUGUGGUGGGCAGCCUUAUGUAUGCUCAAGUAUGUACACGCCCUGAUAUUGCUUUUGUUGUGGGCAUGUUGGAAAGGUACUUGAGCAAUCCUGGGAGUCAACAUUGGAAAGCAGCUAAGAAGGUCCUUAGGUAUUUGCAAGGAACUAAGGACUUAAUGUUGACAUAUCAGCGCACCAGCUUACUUGAUGUAGUUGGGUUUUGUGAUGCUGAUUUUGCUGGCUGCAUAGAUGAUAAGAAAUCCACUACGGGCUAUAUUUUUAUGAUGGCAGGAGGAGCUGUAUCUUGGAAAAGUGUCAAGCAGACACUUACAACAUCCUCAACUAUGGAGGCAGAGUAUGUGGCAUGUUAUGAGGCUUGUUGUCAUGCUAUGUGGAUGCGGAAUUUUAUUUCAGCUUUAGGAGUUGUUGACUCCAUUUCUAGACCGCUGAAAUUAUUUUGUGAUAAUUCCGCAACUGUUGCUUUCUCCAAGAACACUAGGAGUAUUUCUCGCUCCAAACAUAUUGAUGUAAAGUUCUAUUUUGUUAAGGAGAAAGUGGCAGAGUCUCUUAUUGAUAUUGAACACAUGUCCACAAAAAGUAUGUUGGCGGAUCCAUUAACAAAAGGCUUACCCAUAAUUGCGUUUCAAGAACAUGUAUCUCAAAUGAGGUUGUUGGAAGCCUAGGUUGUAUUAAGUUAGUGGGAGCCAUUUUUUGGUAUUGUAAUACUAUGUUAUUGUUGAAAGGAUUGCUAUUAUUGUACAUUUCCCUAUGAAUCAAGCAAUGAAGCAUAUAUGAUUGCUUUUGAUUAUUUAUUUCUGAUGAGAUUCUAUGGGACAUUGAUUUAUGAUUAUGUAUAUGUUGUGAUGUUUGAUUAUGUAGUCCAAGUGGGAGAAUUGUUGGAAUUUUAUGUGUGGACUUACAUAAUUAAUUUGAUAAUAUCAUAAAUCAGUGUUAAUUUAUGUUUUUGCAUUGUGGUCCAUAAUGGGACUGGACACAAAUUGUUGCUUGAUUUUUUAUGGGCUCACCCUAAUUCACUUGACUGGCCCAUUAAGUCAAGUCGUCCAACUAAAGUGUGUAAUGUGCAAUAUAUAUAUAUAUAUAUGUAUUUAUUUGUAUAUAUAUAUAGAGGUGUGUGUGCUUUUGGAGGUGGACCACUCUCUCUUUUGUUCUCUUUGAAGAACACUCCCGGCCACACACGCACACACUCCAUUUUGGACUGAAUUUUGGGGAUUAAAGGGAAGAGCUCAUUGAUCGCUCAUCCUCGAAGCAUCACGCACCCGGAAAGCAGAUUAUUGGAUAUCAAAGGAGAGAAGAAAUGGCUUCCCAAAGCACAAACCAAGGUAACGGAAGAAUUUUGCUAUUAAAUGCAUGCUUAAUUGUCAAUAUGUGAUCCUAUGCAAUUUAAAUUAUCAUCAUUGAAGUCUUGUGAUAGAGUUAGAGAACCGUGAACGCAGCAUUGUCAUUUGAAAGAAACGAUUUACUGUAUCUGAUUGAUGUCUGGAGAGGAAGUUUUGGGCUGGAGAGAAGGAAGAGAGUAUUAUGUUUGGAGACUUUCUGGGCUAGUGAUUAUUUGAGAGUUGCAGACGGCUGGAGGAAAUGAUGAGCUGAGAGCGAAGGAAAACGAACUUGAGAAAGAAAUAGAGCACGCAAAAGCUAUCCUCGAACGACGCCGGCGGCGAAACGCCCCCGCCAUCACCGGAACGCCAAGCAACCAAUGAAGCCCCUUUUGAAGAUAUUUUUACCUGUUUUCUUUCAUGCUAUGCCUCCAUGGUUUCUUCUCUAUUGUGGUUACAUUCUCGUUUUUGGAUCCUGUUCUAUGCUUGGACCAGAUCCGAAAACUGGCUGACAAUUGUACUGAUCUCCAAGGUUUCCUUGUUUUCAAUGCUGUUAGUGGUGGUACUAGCUCUGGGCUUAGUUCACUGCUUUUGGAGCGUCUUUCUGUUGAUUUAUGGCAAGAAAUCAGUACCUUGGGUUCG
Molecule: long non-coding RNA, 10412 nt
Filed under: Vitis vinifera (wine grape)
Lineage: Eukaryota; Viridiplantae; Streptophyta; Magnoliopsida; Vitales; Vitaceae
Description: long non-coding RNA (VVIN_LNC006878)
Source: RNAcentral